UCUAGAUAUUACGUAGCAUGAAGAUUGUUCGUGGCAGAUAUUGCGCGUAUUUUCUGAACUGUCGAUCACCAGAAUCUGAAUAUUAUCGGUGUGAGAACACGCGUUACUAUCACACCAAGAUGAUAGAGAUCUGCCUUUGGGAUAAAUGAUGUUGGCUUACUCCCAUCCGUGGCUCCGAUGGCUACACCUACCGAUUCAUGUGCAAGCUGAUGCAAAAAACCUGCGAACUACGUGUUGUUUUGAUAUUGCCGAGGAACUGCUAAGACAUCUAAUUGUGAAAAGAUUCUUACAUACUAUGUUUGUGGAUCGAACAACAAACUCUACCGGAACGAGUGCCACAUGAGGAAAGAGAAUUGUGGUUAGCGCAUGUUCGUAGUGCCGAUGCAGUAUUGCUCAAGAAUGGUUGAGUGUGCAUGUAUUUUUAUUUCCGUUUUCGUUAAUAAUAAAAUUACAAAAAUUAUUCAUAAA
Long non-coding RNA from Toxorhynchites rutilus septentrionalis, 468 nucleotides. RefSeq lists it as uncharacterized. The record is from RefSeq and is a predicted model, not a curated record. NCBI's taxonomy places the organism in Eukaryota, Metazoa, Arthropoda, Insecta, Diptera, Culicidae. The transcript has 2 exons.